Molecule: long non-coding RNA, 233 nt
Organism: Hibiscus syriacus
Lineage: Eukaryota; Viridiplantae; Streptophyta; Magnoliopsida; Malvales; Malvaceae
Exons: 2
Source: RefSeq, a predicted model, not a curated record
GGCCUAAUCCAAAAACAACUCAUAUAUAUAUAAACUGCGUUGUUAAGAGCUGUUGCAGUGAAGUUGAUGGGACCAAGUGUGCAGCAAAGAGUGAUUAUUUCCUCAGCUUUUGUCACACAUGCAAGAAGAAUCUUGAACAGAAGAUUGACUUUUACAUUUACAGAGGAGAGAAAGCUUUUUGCAGUCAGGAGUGCCGAUAUCAGGAAAUGAUCCUCCAUGGAGAGGAGAAUUAA